This 253-nucleotide ribosomal RNA is filed under the name uncultured bacterium. Its description in RNAcentral is "partial 16S ribosomal RNA". It matches the Rfam family "Bacterial small subunit ribosomal RNA", at positions 524 to 776 of the family's 1533-position model. The record is from RNAcentral.
UACGUAGGGGGCAAGCGUUAUCCGGAUUUACUGGGUGUAAAGGGAGCGUAGACGGCACAGCAAGUCCGAAGUGAAAACCCAGGGCUCAACCUUGGGAUUGCUUUGGAAACUGUUGAGCUGGAGUACGGGAGGGGCAGGCGGAAUUCCUAGUGUAGCGGUGAAAUGCGUAGAUAUUAGGAGGAACACCGGCGGCGAAGGCGGCCUGCUGGACCGUAACUGACGUUGAGGCUCGAAAGCGUGGGGAGCAAACAGG